Molecule: long non-coding RNA, 227 nt
Filed under: Mytilus galloprovincialis (Mediterranean mussel)
Lineage: Eukaryota; Metazoa; Mollusca; Bivalvia; Mytilida; Mytilidae
Source: RNAcentral
GACCUCAUUUCAUGGAUCAGUGAACAAGGUUAAGUUUUGGUGGUCAAGUCCAUAUCUCAGAUACUACAAGCAAUAGGGCUAGUAUAUUCGUUGUAUGGAAGGACUGUAAGGUGUACAUGUCCAACUGGCAGGUGUCAUCUGACCUUGACCUCAUUUUCAUGGAUCAGUGGUUAUAGUUAAAUUUUUGUGUUUUGGUCUGUUUUUCUCAUACUAUAUGCAAUAGGUCU